Molecule: ribosomal RNA, 923 nt
Filed under: Microbacterium sp. EB36
Lineage: Bacteria; Bacillati; Actinomycetota; Actinomycetes; Micrococcales; Microbacteriaceae
Description: bacterial SSU rRNA
Rfam family: Bacterial small subunit ribosomal RNA
Source: RNAcentral
AGGCAGCAGUGGGGGAAUAUUGCACAAUGGGCGAAAGCCUGAUGCAGCAACGCGCGUGAGGGAUGACGGCCUUCGGGUUGUAAACCUCUUUAGCAGGGAAGAAGCGAAAGUGACGGUACCUGCAGAAAAAGCGCCGGCUAACUACGUGCCAGCAGCCGCGGUAAUACGUAGGGCGCAAGCGUUAUCCGGGAAUUAUUGGGCGUAAAGAGCUCGUAGGCGGUUUGUCGCGUCUGCUGUGAAAUCCCGAGGCUCAACCUCGGGCCUGCAGUGGGUACGGGCAGACUAGAGUGCGGUAGGGGAGAUUGGAAUUCCUGGUGUAGCGGUGGAAUGCGCAGAUAUCAGGAGGAACACCGAUGGCGAAGGCAGAUCUCUGGGCCGUAACUGACGCUGAGGAGCGAAAGGGUGGGGAGCAAACAGGCUUAGAUACCCUGGUAGUCCACCCCGUAAACGUUGGGAACUAGUUGUGGGGUCCAUUCCACGGAUUCCGUGACGCAGCUAACGCAUUAAGUUCCCCGCCUGGGGAGUACGGCCGCAAGGCUAAAACUCAAAGGAAUUGACGGGGACCCGCACAAGCGGCGGAGCAUGCGGAUUAAUUCGAUGCAACGCGAAGAACCUUACCAAGGCUUGACAUAUACGAGAACGGGCCAGAAAUGGUCAACUCUUUGGACACUCGUAAACAGGUGGUGCAUGGUUGUCGUCAGCUCGUGUCGUGAGAUGUUGGGUUAAGUCCCGCAACGAGCGCAACCCUCGUUCUAUGUUGCCAGCACGUAAUGGUGGGAACUCAUGGGAUACUGCCGGGGUCAACUCGGAGGAAGGUGGGGAUGACGUCAAAUCAUCAUGCCCCUUAUGUCUUGGGCUUCACGCAUGCUACAAUGGCCGGUACAAAGGGCUGCAAUACCGUGAGGUGGAGCGAAUCCCAAAAA